UCAGGCCUAACACAUGCAAGUCGAGCGGUAACAGGAAGUAGCUUGCUACUUUGCUGACAGCGGCGGACGGGUGAGUAAUGCUUGGGAACUUGCCUUUGGGAGGGGGAUAACCGCUGGAAACGGUGGAUAAUACCGCAUGAUGUUUACGAACCAAAGUGGGGGCUCUUCGGACCUCACGCCCAGAGAUAGGCCCAAGUGAGAUUAGCUAGUUGGUGAGGUAAUGGCUCACCAAGGCGACGAUCUCUAGCUGUUNUGAGAGGAUGAUCAGCCACACUGGGACUGAGACACGGCCCAGACUCCUACGGGAGGCAGCAGUGGGGAAUAUUGGACAAUGGGGGCAACCCUGAUCCAGCCAUGCCGCGUGUGUGAAGAAGGCCUUCGGGUUGUAAAGCACUUUCAGUGGUGAGGAAGGCNUGUUGGUUAAUACCCAACAGGANGACGUCNC
Molecule: ribosomal RNA, 445 nt
Filed under: uncultured bacterium
Lineage: Bacteria
Description: bacterial SSU rRNA
Rfam family: Bacterial small subunit ribosomal RNA
Source: RNAcentral